GCCAUGAUUGUAUAGUGGUUAGUACUCUGCAUUGUGGCCGCAGCAACCCCGGUUCGAAUCUGGGUCAUGGCA
RNAcentral lists this transfer RNA (72 nucleotides) under Pangasianodon gigas (Mekong giant catfish). Its description in RNAcentral is "tRNA-His". It matches the Rfam family "tRNA". Rfam says of the family: Transfer RNA (tRNA) molecules are approximately 80 nucleotides in length. Their secondary structure includes four short double-helical elements and three loops (D, anti-codon, and T loops). Lineage: Eukaryota; Metazoa; Chordata; Actinopteri; Siluriformes; Pangasiidae. The record is from RNAcentral.